AAUUAUCAGGAAAUUUUUAUUCUGGAAAUGAACUAACUUUAAUACUUUAAUACAAGAUUAGUAACUUCUGGGAUUUUAAAAGUUAAGUAACAACAGGAUCUAAAAUAAAAUAAUAUGACAUGGCUCUAAGUUAAUGACAAGUGACUAACUGUCUGCCUGUUGUUCCAGCCUGAGUAUUCGGUUACUGAUGGAUACUGGAAGGGGGAAAACAAUACGCUGAGAAGACCUGCAGGGUACAACUUCCAGGAAAUGGGCAGUGGUGGAGGAGUGAUGAGCAUGCCACAUCACAACUGGUCAACGGUCCGAAGGGAAAGGGAAAGUGUUAGGAAUGAAAGUCGCCAGAUGUCGCGCUCAUACAGCUUAGCACGAACAGAAAGAAACCUGGCAGAACAAAUUGACAGGAAAAUCAGCAGCUUUCCGGAAGACCAGAGGGACUAUCCAGCGUAUUCCACAUAUCAGUAUGAAUAUGAGGGGAGGGGCAGUGACUGUCAAUCACUGGAUCAGCUGACUGUUAGCAACCUUGGGGAUAACCUGGACUUCCUGCAGAACCUGGGGCCAAAGUUCAGCACUCUGGGUGGGAUCUGUCAACAGUCAAUGGAGCGCAGGAACGUCCGGCUGUGAAAUGCUCUAGGCCAUUCUUGAAUUUGAGCGCCAUGACACCUGUACAGGCACAGGAUGAUUAUGGAUAUAAGCUAUGAACAUCACAUCUUCAGUGCUAAGACUGCCUGGCCUCAAGGAAUACACUGUGCAUUUGUGCUCAUGAUGGAUGUGUAAAGAAGCAUGUUGGGUGCUUGAAAUAAAAACUUGUGUCUGCAUCCCACCAGCUUGUCUGAAAUGAGGCGGUUGGUGGCUUGGACUGUUAGUUUUGGCUGUGACCAGUUUGAUGGCCUGAUAGGCUGCCAUACUGUUCAAAUCUUAAGAUCCUUUUUUUUAUUCUGCAAACACAAAGCCACACAUCACUACAACAAUUAUUUAUGCUGGUAGUGUUUGUCUGGACUUAUCCUGUACUUGCUGCCUUUAGCUAUCAUACUGUUUUGUACACUUUAACUUUGCACUGCAGUAUCACUUGUAUAUUUAAAGGGUCAGUCCAACCAAAAAUGACAAUUCUAUCAUUUAUUCAUCUUCAUGUCAAUCCAACCCUAUACAGAAACUUAUGUCCACCAUGGAAUAAAAUUUAUACUGCAAUUGU
Molecule: long non-coding RNA, 1189 nt
Organism: Cyprinus carpio carpio
Lineage: Eukaryota; Metazoa; Chordata; Actinopteri; Cypriniformes; Cyprinidae
Source: Ensembl